UAGGGAAUCUUCGGCAAUGGGGGCAACCCUGACCGAGCAACGCCGCGUGAGGGAAGAAGGUUUUCGGAUCGUAAAGCUCUGUUGUAAGAGAAGGACGUGUGUGAGAGUGGAAAGUUCACACAGUGACGGUAACUUACCAGAAAGGGACGGCUAACUACGUGCCAGCAGCCGCGGUAAUACGUAGGUCCCGAGCGUUGUCCGGAUUUAUUGGGCGUAAAGCGAGCGCAGGCGGUUUAAUAAGUCUGAAGUUAAAGGCAGUGGCUUAACCAUUGUUCGCUUUGGAAACUGUUAAACUUGAGUGCAGAAGGGGAGAGUGGAAUUCCAUGUGUAGCGGUGAAAUGCGUAGAUAUAUGGAGGAACACCGGUGGCGAAAGCGGCUCUCUGGUCUGUAACUGACGCUGAGGCUCGAAAGCGUGGGGAGCAAACAGG
This 429-nucleotide ribosomal RNA is filed under the name bacterium. RNAcentral describes it as "partial 16S ribosomal RNA". It matches the Rfam family "Bacterial small subunit ribosomal RNA", at positions 355 to 776 of the family's 1533-position model. The record is from RNAcentral.